Molecule: ribosomal RNA, 468 nt
Filed under: uncultured bacterium
Lineage: Bacteria
Description: partial 16S ribosomal RNA
Rfam family: Bacterial small subunit ribosomal RNA
Source: RNAcentral
GACGAACGCUGGCGGCGUGCUUAACACAUGCAAGUCGAACGGAGAGGCCCUGCUUUUGUGGGGUGCUCGAGUGGCGAACGGGUGAGUAACACGUGAGUAACCUGCCCUUGACUUUGGGAUAACUUCAGGAAACUGGGGCUAAUACCGGAUAGGAGCUCCUGCUGCAUGGUGGGGGUUGGAAAGUUUCGGCGGUUGGGGAUGGACUCGCGGCUUAUCAGCUUGUUGGUGGGGUAGUGGCUUACCAAGGCUUUGACGGGUAGCCGGCCUGAGAGGGUGAACGGCGACAUUGGGACUGAGAUACGGCCCAGACUCCAACGGGAGGCAGCAGUGGGGAAUAUUGCACAAUGGGCGGAAGCCUGAUGAAGCAACGCCGCGUGCGGGAUGACGGCCUUCGGGUUGUAAACCGCUUUCGCCUGUGACGAAGCGUGAGUGACGGUAAUGGGUAAAGAAGCACCGGCUAACUACGUG